RNAcentral lists this ribosomal RNA (420 nucleotides) under bacterium. Its description in RNAcentral is "partial 16S ribosomal RNA". It matches the Rfam family "Bacterial small subunit ribosomal RNA", at positions 355 to 776 of the family's 1533-position model. The record is from RNAcentral.
UGGGGGAUAUUGCACAAUGGGCGAAAGCCUGAUGCAGCGACGCCGCGUGGGGGAUGAAGGCUUUCGGGUUGCAAACCUCUUUCGCUAUCGAACAAGGCCCGCUUAGGGUGGGUUGAGGGUAGGGGGAGAAGAAGCGCCGGCUAACUACGUGCCAGCAGCCGCGGUAAUACGUAGGGCGCGAGCGUUGUCCGGAAUUAUUGGGCGUAAAGGGCUUGUAGGCGGCUUGUUGCGCCUGCUGUGAAAACGCGGGGCUUAACUUCGCGCGUGCAGUGGGUACGGGCAGGCUUGAGUGUGGUAGGGGUGACUGGAAUUCCAGGUGUAGCGGUGGAAUGCGCAGAUAUCUGGAAGAACACCGAUGGCGAAGGCAGGUCACUGGGCCAUUACUGACGCUGAGGAGCGAAAGCAUGGGUAGCGAACAGG